AGAGUUUGAUCAUGGCUCAGAACGAACGUUAGCGGCGCGCCUAACACAUGCAAGUCGCACGAGAAAGGGCUUCGGCCCCGGUACAGUGGCGCACGGGUGAGUAACACGUAGAUCAUCUUCCCUCGAGUGGUGGAUAACCUUCCGAAAGGAAAGCUAAUACAGCAUAAGACCACGGCUUCGUUGAAGCUGCGGCCAAAGCAGGCCUCUACACGUAAGCUUGCGCUUGAGGAUGAGUCUGCGGCCCAUCAGCUAGUUGGUAGGGUAAUGGCCUACCAAGGCUAAGACGGGUAGCUGGUCUGAGAGGAUGAACAGCCACACUGGAACUGAGACACGGUCCAGACUCCUACGGGAGGCAGCAGUGGGAAUCUUGCGCAAUGGGCGAAAGCCUGACGCAGCGACGCCGCGUGAGCGAUGAAGGCCUUCGGGUUGUAAAGCUCUGUGGGGAGGAAAGAAUAAGUGUUGGCUAACAUCCAGCACGAUGACGGUACCUCCUUAGCAAGCACCGGCUAACUCUGUGCCAGCCGCCGCGGUAAUAC
This 536-nucleotide ribosomal RNA is filed under the name uncultured bacterium. RNAcentral's name for it is "bacterial SSU rRNA". It matches the Rfam family "Bacterial small subunit ribosomal RNA", at positions 8 to 526 of the family's 1533-position model. The record is from RNAcentral.